Molecule: non-coding RNA, 407 nt
Organism: Cinara cedri
Lineage: Eukaryota; Metazoa; Arthropoda; Insecta; Hemiptera; Aphididae
Source: the annotation of a GenBank genome assembly
UAUCUAUAGAUAAUUACUAUUACUAUAGUGGAUAUAUACUAUACAUAUUUUAUAUGUAUACGUUAAUAAUUAACAUGACUAAAAAUUAAAACCAACUACGAACCUUUUUUUUAUUUUCGAAGAAAACCGAAACUACCAAGAAAUUUGAAACAAAUGCAUAGAAAAAAAUUCCAUGGGGAGCAUAUAAGACCCCCCACCCCGUGAGCACGUCCCUAUACCUAAUCAAAAUUAUGGAACAUUAAGCCCUCCUCCAAAAAAAUAUUUGAAUUAUUCGCACCUAUAAGUAGCCAUUAAAAUAUCAACUUAAAUCACUAUUUGACUAGCGUAUAAAUAUAAUUAGAAGAAAAAAAAUCGUACAUGUUUCUUACGGUGGAAAUUUAAUUUUUGUACAAGAUGAUCCACUUGAG